AUUCAAAUAGUUUAAUAAAAAUUUUAGUUUGUGGAUCUAAAGAUGUAAAUUUACUUUGAAUA
This 62-nucleotide transfer RNA is filed under the name Colaspidea globosa. Its description in RNAcentral is "tRNA-His". The record is from RNAcentral. Lineage: Eukaryota; Metazoa; Arthropoda; Insecta; Coleoptera; Chrysomelidae.